RNAcentral lists this ribosomal RNA (252 nucleotides) under uncultured bacterium. RNAcentral's name for it is "partial 16S ribosomal RNA". It matches the Rfam family "Bacterial small subunit ribosomal RNA", at positions 524 to 776 of the family's 1533-position model. The record is from RNAcentral.
UACGAAGGGUGCAAGCGUUACUCGGAAUACUGGGCGUAAAGCGUGCGCAGGCGGUGAUGUAAGACAGGUGUGAAAUCCCCGGGCUUAACCUGGGAACUGCAUUUGUGACUGCAUCGCUGGAGUGCGGCAGAGGGGGAUGGAAUUCCGCGUGUAGCAGUGAAAUGCGUAGAUAUGCGGAGGAACACCGAUGGCGAAGGCAAUCCCCUGGGCCUGCACUGACGCUCAUGCACGAAAGCGUGGGGAGCAAACAGG